UACAGAGGUCUCGAGCGUUAGGCGGAAUCACUGGGCUUAAAGCGUGUGUAGGCGGAUCGGUAAGUACCUUGUGAAAUCCCACAGCUUAACUGUGGAACUGCUUGGUAUACUGCCGGUCUUGAGCCAGCUAGGGGCUACCGGAACAAAUGGUGGAGCGGUGAAAUGCGUAGAUAUCAUUUGGAACGCCAAUGGUGAAAACAGGUAGCUGGGGCUGUGCUGACGCUGAGACACGAAAGCGUGGGGAUCAAACAGG
RNAcentral lists this ribosomal RNA (253 nucleotides) under uncultured bacterium. RNAcentral describes it as "partial 16S ribosomal RNA". It matches the Rfam family "Bacterial small subunit ribosomal RNA", at positions 524 to 776 of the family's 1533-position model. The record is from RNAcentral.